ACUACUAUAAUUCUGAAUUCUCUACAGAUUGGCUUGGCCUGUUUUUAAAUUCUCUUUACAUCCUCAACAUUGCCUGGCCCACGCUUGUGAAAUGGAGUCUCCCCCUGGAAAAUUCAUCAACGUUUUCUUUUCAGGAUGGAACAAGAAAAUUCAAAGGUUCUUCCUACACACAAAAGGAGUGGACACAGCAAGUCCUUUUUGAGCCCCAGUGUCCCCAGGAGUGGAUAAUAGCACUUUUGAAUCAAGGGAAUUCUUGAGGUGACCCGGAGUCAACUCUUUCAGUCUGAAAUGGCCUGAGAAAUCAAGGUGAUAGCUGUGUUUAGCCAAUUCCUUUAAUAAAUUUAUAAAUUAUAAAAUACCAAGUGGAAAAAAUUAGUAGU
This 380-nucleotide long non-coding RNA is filed under the name Heterocephalus glaber (naked mole-rat). RNAcentral describes it as "lncRNA (ENSHGLG00000048763.1)". Lineage: Eukaryota; Metazoa; Chordata; Mammalia; Rodentia; Bathyergidae. The record is from RNAcentral.